RNAcentral lists this ribosomal RNA (458 nucleotides) under uncultured bacterium. RNAcentral's name for it is "partial 16S ribosomal RNA". It matches the Rfam family "Bacterial small subunit ribosomal RNA", at positions 338 to 795 of the family's 1533-position model. The record is from RNAcentral.
CCUACGGGAGACAGCAGUGAGGAAUAUUGGUCAAUGGCCGGAAGGCUGAACCAGCCAUGCCGCGUGAAGGUCAGUGCCCUACGGGCGUUAAACUUCUUUUGUCCGGGAGCAAUAAUGGUCACGUUUGGCCAGACGCGAGUACCGUACGAAUAAGCAUCGGCUAACUCCGUGCCAGCAGCCGCGGUUAUACGGGGGAUGCAAUCGUUAUCCGGAUUUAUUGGGUUAAAGGGAGGCGGAGGCGGUGAGGUAAGUCAGCGGUCAAAUUGCGGGGCUAAACCCCGUACUGCCGUUGAAACUGCAUGCCUAGAGUGCGCGAGAGGUAGGCGGAAUGCGUGGUGUAGCGGUGAAAUGCAUAGAGAUCACGCAGAACACCGAUUGCGAAGGCAGCAUACCGGCGUGCAACUGACGCUCAUGCACGAAAGCGUGGGUAUCGAACAGGAUUAGAUACCCGGGUAGUC